UCUUGUGCAAUAAACGAAAGUAUGACACAGAGAGGACACAUUUAAUUGAGCCCGUCAAAUUAAGUGCCAGCCGACGCGGUUAAACUUAAGGGCUGGUCUUUAUAAGUAAAAAGGCGUAAAGGAUGUGUAGGUUAAGAAACGAUCCAAGUAGGUAAAUGGAAUUUUUCUGGAGCGGUAGAAUGUGAGGAUAGAAAAUAGAACCCCUAAGGUAAAAACUAUUUACUACAAGGUAGGCUGAAACAUGAGAGUGUGGGGAGCAAACAGGAUUAGAGACCCUGGUAGUCCACACUGUGAACUUUGAAGAUGAUGCUUAGCAGACCCGAAAGGUAAAAUCUUCCGCCUGAGUAGUACGAUCGCAAGAUUAAAAUUCAAAAACUUUGGCUGUUCACUAUUUCGAUUAGAGGAGCGUGUAGUUUAAUUCGAUGGUCCGCGUGUUACCUUACCCCAACUUGAAUCUGUGACCGGUAUUGCAUGGCCGUCGUAAGUUCGUGUAUUAAGCUAGAAGGGACCCAACCCGGGCAUUUGCCCGGAGGAAGUCAGGUCUUAUGAUCCGAAUGUUGGGGGAUUUUAUGCGCUACAUUUUCUUAUAUAAUGAGAAACCUGAAAGGUGAGUCUCUAAAGUAAGAGUUCGGAAGGUCGCUGUAAGACGACUGGAAGUUGGAUUUAAUAGUAAUCGGAAAGUAGGGCGUUCCGGUGAAUUGGUACAAGUGUUAGCACAAAUUGCCCGUCACCUUUACUUAGAAUGGUUAUUCGGAC
This 756-nucleotide ribosomal RNA is filed under the name Bunodactis reynaudi. RNAcentral's name for it is "partial 12S ribosomal RNA". It matches the Rfam family "Bacterial small subunit ribosomal RNA", at positions 362 to 1425 of the family's 1533-position model. The record is from RNAcentral. Lineage: Eukaryota; Metazoa; Cnidaria; Anthozoa; Actiniaria; Actiniidae.